This 22-nucleotide non-coding RNA is filed under the name Rattus norvegicus (Norway rat). Lineage: Eukaryota; Metazoa; Chordata; Mammalia; Rodentia; Muridae. The record is from RNAcentral.
CUGAUGUGUUGCCAAGAAGAAC